This 1022-nucleotide long non-coding RNA is filed under the name Calidris pugnax (ruff). RNAcentral's name for it is "lncRNA (ENSCPUG00000016353.1)". The record is from RNAcentral. Lineage: Eukaryota; Metazoa; Chordata; Aves; Charadriiformes; Scolopacidae.
GUGACUAUGGUCAUGAAUACACCUCGGUCAAGGGACAAGGAAGGGAUUGGCCCUCAGCCAAUGGGAGCUGACAUGACCAUAUACAACCACAGUUCAGAUUUAACUUUGGUAUGAAUGGACCCCUGCCGGAGGGCAAAUUGGUUUGAUCCUCCUUGAAGCAGUAGAUCUGCAGCUGGGGACUCUUUCCUUGAGAUGCCACCCAAGCAAACUCCUCAGUGUUGAGAGCCCUCAUCUUAUAGGCUUACACAAAAUGUCAAGAAAAAUCAAUGGGACAAAAUCAACUUGAAGAUGAAGACGGACAAUUUCCAUUGCAGUAAAAUGAAGUCAUGUAUUCAUACCUGAGAAUAUAAAUUGGCUCACUGAAAAAAAGACCACCAACAUUAUGACUUUGCAUGGACUAUAGAAAGUAAAGUAGAAGCUCUCACUCCUUUUCCAUAUUCCAUCAUUAAGGUUAACAUUCAGGCUCUGUAUCCAGUGCAUAAAAAGAGUUAAUUGGUUAAGAAGGCAAGAAGACUCUACAUGCUGCAAGACUCACCUAGAUGGGACAGUAGGAAUGGAAUUCAUCUGCCUUAUGCCUGAGCUAUCCACCCAUUAUAAUCACUAGAGAGAAAGAGAUACUUUCAGAGGCUAAUUCACCUGUCCUGUCUCAGCAUUUUAUCUUCUGAGAUGAAUCACCCCCUAAAGAUGAAAAUUUCUCUCCUUUGGAUGCAAAGCUUGACUGGAAUGACCUGCUAACUUUUAGACAGUGAAUCAGACAGAGGACACUUGGGCUUAAGGAUAUACUUGGGUUUAAGAAUAUACAUUAUGCUCUCAUGUGGAUACAUAGAAUUCACAGCUUUAAAAGCAGGACAGCAAUUAAUCCUUCUUCUAAAUGGAUGACAAUCCCAUUACUGGAGCCACUUGGAAAGUCCCAGACUGGACUCAGCGAUGGACAGGAACUGAACUCAAAAACCGGAUUCAGGAAGACACAGAUCAGAAUCAAAGGCAGACAGACAGAGUCCUUCUCAGAUGCUAGCCAUUGA